This 77-nucleotide small nucleolar RNA is filed under the name Phaseolus vulgaris (common bean). Lineage: Eukaryota; Viridiplantae; Streptophyta; Magnoliopsida; Fabales; Fabaceae. The record is from RNAcentral.
AAGAGAUAUGAUGAUGUUUAUCCAUCUAUUCUGCUGUUAAAUGAUGAUUACUAACAUGCACUACCAUCUGAUCUCUU